GGCCGGGUAGAGUAAUGGUAACUCGACAGCCUCAUAAGCUGUAGCUGGUGGUUCGAUUCCAUCCCCUGCAUCCA
This 74-nucleotide transfer RNA is filed under the name Rariglobus hedericola. RNAcentral's name for it is "Opitutaceae bacterium 53C-WASEF tRNA-Met". It matches the Rfam family "tRNA". From Rfam's summary of the family: Transfer RNA (tRNA) molecules are approximately 80 nucleotides in length. Their secondary structure includes four short double-helical elements and three loops (D, anti-codon, and T loops). The record is from RNAcentral. Lineage: Bacteria; Pseudomonadati; Verrucomicrobiota; Opitutia; Opitutales; Opitutaceae.